Long non-coding RNA from Dromaius novaehollandiae (emu), 196 nucleotides. RefSeq lists it as uncharacterized. The transcript is spliced from 2 exons. The record is from RefSeq and is a predicted model, not a curated record. Lineage: Eukaryota; Metazoa; Chordata; Aves; Casuariiformes; Dromaiidae.
AAUUCAAGUGAGCUUCACGAGAGAUAUGAGUGUGACUUGGAAAUUGGCUUACUUACUGGACUUAGGAACUCCUCCAUUAGUCAUCUGCAUAGAGGAGAAUAGGCUGAUCUGAAACAACAGACCUGGUGGAGACAAUGUGACUAAACCUGUGGCCUUCACAACGAAGUAUUUGACUAAUUGGUGCAGGAGGUCUCCA